UACGAGGGGGGGCAAGCGUUAAUCGGAAUUACUGGGCGUAAAGCGAGUGUAGGCGGUCUCCUAAGUCGGGUGUGAAAGCCCCCGGGCUCAACCUGGGAAUGGCAAUGGAUACUGGCAGGCUAGAGUGCGGUAGAGGGUAGUGGAAUUCCCGGUGUAGCGGUGAAAUGCGUAGAGAUCGGGAGGAACACCGAUAGCGAAGGCAGCUUACUGGGCUGUAACUGACGCUGAUGCACGAAAGUGUGGGGAUCAAACAGGGAUUAGAGU
RNAcentral lists this ribosomal RNA (264 nucleotides) under uncultured bacterium. RNAcentral describes it as "partial 16S ribosomal RNA". It matches the Rfam family "Bacterial small subunit ribosomal RNA", at positions 524 to 784 of the family's 1533-position model. The record is from RNAcentral.